AUGCAAAAAGAAUCUUAUGUUGUUUAUUAUUUUGACUACUAAUUUAUGUCUAGCUUAAUAUUGUUAAGUUGGGUUAUAUUAUUAAUCCCGUUUAUUAGGCCUAUUAUGCUUAGGAGUCUUAAUUAGUAUAAGUAGCCUUGUACUCUUGUUAUUUAUCAUUCAGUCUUAAUUAGUAUAAGUAGCCCUUGCGUGAUCGUGCGGAUUGGGCUCUUCACGAGCUUAUCGUGAACUAUCAUUGCAUUCCCAAACUCGACAGCUUGUAAAACAAUUCUAGUCACCUCGUUCUUGGUUUUCCAUUUAGUUCAAAUCGUCCAUUUCUCGUGCUCGUUUUAAGCAUCUUUUUUUCAGCCUUUGAUCAUGCAUUUUAAACUUGGUGCAGGUGCAACAAUGGUUCCUAUAAGCUGGACAGAGAUGCAGUGCCCUCUAACAGGUCAAACUGAGCAGAGAAAAGUUGCGAAGGUCGACGUCGUCUGACCGGUAGAAGUAGCUGAAAAAUGCAACUUGCGAAGAAAGCCAUUGCAGUUGAGAAAUAGUGGAAAAUGCGCAGUGUUAGCUUCUUAGCUUUGAGUCGAGAGGCUUGAUUUGAGAAGUGUACUAUUUCAGAAUUUUAUAGAAAUCAAUGUUAAAGUUGGCAAUUUACCUUUCUCCUCAAUGCAAAUUCUUUAGUUAUUUAAAUUUUCGUGCAAUUGUUAAUGGCAAAAGGAUAAAAUUUUGCUUAUUUCAGUAUAUGAUUUUUGAAGGCUGGGGACACUUAUUCAAAUAGGUAGAAAUACAUUUUUGUCACCUGUUCAUACACAUGCAGUCAUAAACUCAUAUUUUUUGGAAUUUUUUGCUACUUAAGUAAAAUAA
RNAcentral lists this long non-coding RNA (849 nucleotides) under Salvia miltiorrhiza (redroot sage). RNAcentral describes it as "long non-coding RNA (SMIL_LNC000232)". The record is from RNAcentral. Lineage: Eukaryota; Viridiplantae; Streptophyta; Magnoliopsida; Lamiales; Lamiaceae.